This 484-nucleotide ribosomal RNA is filed under the name uncultured bacterium. Its description in RNAcentral is "partial 16S ribosomal RNA". It matches the Rfam family "Bacterial small subunit ribosomal RNA", at positions 28 to 507 of the family's 1533-position model. The record is from RNAcentral.
AUUGAACGCUGGCGGCAUGCUUUACACAUGCAAGUCGAACGGCAGCGCGGGCUUCGGCCUGGCGGCGAGUGGCGAACGGGUGAGUAAUGCAUCGGAACGUGCCCAGUAGUGGGGGAUAGCCCGGCGAAAGCCGGAUUAAUACCGCAUACGACCUGAGGGUGAAAGCGGGGGACCGAAAGGCCUCGCGCUAUUGGAGCGGCCGAUGUCGGAUUAGCUAGUUGGUGGGGUAAAGGCUUACCAAGGCGACGAUCCGUAGCUGGUCUGAGAGGGCGACCAGCCACACUGGGACUGAGACACGGCCCAGACUCCUACGGGAGGCAGCAGUGGGGAAUGUUGGACAAUGGGGGCAACCCUGAUCCAGCCAUGCCGCGUGCGGGAAGAAGGCCUUCGGGUUGUAAACCGCUUUUGUUCGGGAAGAAAUCCUCUGGGCUAAUACCCCGGGGGGAUGACGGUACCGGAAGAAUAAGCACCGGCUAACUACGUG